GACGAACGCUGGCGGCGUGCUUAACACAUGCAAGUCGAACGGAAAGGCCCUGCUCUUGUGGGGUGCUCGAGUGGCGAACGGGUGUGUAACACGUGUGUAUACUGCCCCUGACUUUGGGAUAACUUCAGGGGACUGGGGCUCAUACAGGAUAGGAGAUCCUGCUGCAUGGUGGGGGUUGGAGAGUUUCGGCGGUUGGGGCUGGACUCGCGGCUUCUCAGCUUGUUGGUGGGGUAGUGGCUUUCCAAGGGUUUGACGGGUAGCCGGCCUAAGCGGGGUACCGGCGACAUGGGGACUGAGGUACGGCCCAGACGCCAACGGGAGGCAGCGGUGGGGAGUAUGGCAGAACGGGCGGAAGCCUGAGGCAGCAGCGCCCCGUGCGGAAUGACGGCCUUCGGGUGGUAAACCGCUGUCGCCUGUGACGAAGCGGGAGUGACGGUAAUGGGUAAAGAAGCACCGGCUAACUACGUG
This 468-nucleotide ribosomal RNA is filed under the name uncultured bacterium. Its description in RNAcentral is "partial 16S ribosomal RNA". It matches the Rfam family "Bacterial small subunit ribosomal RNA", at positions 28 to 507 of the family's 1533-position model. The record is from RNAcentral.